GAAAACCUUACGAGGAUAAGACAAACGGAGGAUUGACAGAUUGAUCGCUCUUUCUUGAUUGUUUGGGUGGUGGUGCAUGGCCGUUCUUAGUUCGUGGAUUAAUUUGUCUGGUUAAUUCCGUUAACGAACGAGACCUUAACUUGCUAAUUGGGGUUAGUGAUUCAUUCGCUUGCCCUGUUAGAAGGACCAUGUGUGUCUAACACAAGGAAGCGUGAGGCAAUAA
This 223-nucleotide ribosomal RNA is filed under the name uncultured eukaryote. Its description in RNAcentral is "partial 18S ribosomal RNA". It matches the Rfam family "Eukaryotic small subunit ribosomal RNA", at positions 1208 to 1456 of the family's 1831-position model. The record is from RNAcentral.